RNAcentral lists this unclassified non-coding RNA (363 nucleotides) under uncultured bacterium. Its description in RNAcentral is "contains 16S-23S intergenic spacer region". The record is from RNAcentral.
UCUCCGUUGCCGGAGCAGUUCGCAAUGACACUUGUAACAUUGCGUAAGGGUUGCGCUCGUUGCUCCACUUAAGGAAACACUUCACAGCACGAGCUGACGACAGCCAUGCAACACCUGUCACCGGGUUCCCGAAGGCACAGCACUAUUUCUAGCGCCUUCCCGGGAUGUCAAGUCCUGGUAAGGUUCUUCGCGUAUCGUCGAAUUAAACCUCACGUUCCACCGCUUGUGCGGGCCCCCGCCUAUUCCUUUGAGUUUUAAGCUUGCGCUCGUACUACUCAGGCGGCUCGCUUAACGCGUUAGCUUCGCUUCACACAGGGUCGAUACUACAUGAAGCUAGCGAGCAUCGUUUACAGCGUGGACUAC